GGCGGUUCUCAGGUGACGCACCCCGGAAUCAGGCUCCCUCCUCUCUGGUUCCGGGUGCAUCACCUGAGAACUGCA
This is a non-coding RNA of Myotis brandtii (Brandt's bat), 75 nucleotides long. The record is from Rfam. NCBI's taxonomy places the organism in Eukaryota, Metazoa, Chordata, Mammalia, Chiroptera, Vespertilionidae.